AUUGAACGCUGGCGGCAUGCCUUACACAUGCAAGUCGAACGGCAGCGGGGAUUUCGGUCCGCCGGCGAGUGGCGAACGGGUGAGUAAUGUAUCGGAACGUACCAUUGAGUGGGGGAUAACGUAGCGAAAGUUACGCUAAUACCGCAUAUUCUCUCCGGAGGAAAGCAGGGGACCGCAAGGCCUUGCGCUCUUUGAGCGGCCGAUAUCAGAUUAGCUAAUUGGUGGGGUAAAAGCUCACCAAGGCGACGAUCUGUAGCGGGUCUGAGAGGAUGAUCCGCCACACUGGAACUGAGACACGGUCCAGACUCCUACGGGAGGCAGCAGUGGGGAAUUUUGGACAAUGGGGGCAACCCUGAUCCAGCCAUGCCGCGUGAGUGAAGAAGGCCUUCGGGUUGUAAAGCUCUUUCGGCCGGGAAAAAAUCGCAUGGGUUAAUACCCUGUGUGGAUGAUGGUACCGGAAUAAGAAGCACCGGCUAACUACGUGCCAGCCGCCGCGGUAA
This 500-nucleotide ribosomal RNA is filed under the name uncultured bacterium. RNAcentral's name for it is "partial 16S ribosomal RNA". It matches the Rfam family "Bacterial small subunit ribosomal RNA", at positions 30 to 523 of the family's 1533-position model. The record is from RNAcentral.